AAUCAUUUAUUUGGGGGCGGAGGCGGCUGCAGUACUCCUCGAUAAGUACGGGAUUUAAUUUAGUAUCGAAUCAAGAGCUGACGAUUACUCCUUAAGUUACAUCGCUAAGUUAUUUCUGUAUAUGAAUGGCGUGCUUACUUCGGCCGAAUUAGGAUAAAUGGGAAGAAAGAAAUUUUGCGCUGCCCCUGGGUGCUCUUCAUCCAGUAAGCAGAAUGGUUUGAAACUCUUAAACUUUUGCAGAGAUUCAGCACGGGCUAUGGUAUGGACAGGAAGAGUUGGGAUGUACUGCACCAUUGAUUCUGCUAGAAUGCUGCACUAUAAAUAUUUGUGCAGUAGAAAGUGAUUUCACUACAGCUGAAAGUUAUUGCCCCAAGAACCCAGCUGUAAUCAAACAAACAUCAUUGUCAUAAUUUAUUACUACUGAAACUGUAUAUCAGUAUACAGGUCAUGUAGAGUAUGUCACAAACACUAAUGUUUUAGGAUAAUUAAAAAAUGUUUGAAAAGCUGAACAUGCUUUCAGUAAUAUUAUUUAUGAGAGAAUGAGGCAGUAAUGACUUUACUAUGAGGAAUAACGUAACCAGUGUACAAAUUUUUUAUAGAGGCAGUAUGUUGUAAAGUAAUAUUUGUUAUUUCCCAUUGCGAAGAAUUAUGGUAAUCCACCAUGUAAGGAAGCACACUAAUUUUGCAUUUUUCUUUCGUUCAUUCAGGAGGGUGCUGCAGUGAAUACCCGGCAACAGCUGUGUUUAUUGAGGAGGUUGACAAACUCUUUGAGAGUUUAAAUGAUGGAAUGCGUAUUGACCCUGAGAAAACACUGUGUUGCCCACUAAGCAAUAACAGUCCCCAUAUAGAGCACUGGAAAAAGGGCAAGUAUGAGGAUAAACAGUUGGAUCUUCCUCAAGGAUGGUAAACCCGCCUUUCUUCAUCCUCCUCCACAGAAUGGGUGGCUGAUUGUCAUCACUGUUGCCCAGCAUGUGUGGAAGACAGUGAAAGAGGCUUACCACUACCUCACACUGCUCACACUUUUGCUCUUUGAAGCGAACUGUGUUGUCAUUGGCCCAAAUUCUGCAAUGUCUACAGCAGUUGCAAUUGGUCUAGAUGAUCAAGUGGUUUGGCGAUUGUCCUUUCGUGACCUCUGUCAUCGGGAUUAUGACGCUAUCUGCUAAUGGAGGCAGGUUUAUAUUGCUAAGAUACAUUAGACCUCAGCUGAUUAGCCUGGAUAGCUACACUGUGUUCAAGCUAGUUGUCAUGUGCAGCAACGAGCAGGCUAGGUGAUUUUUAAGGAAUAUAUAUGCUUGUUUCACAGUCAUUAAUCUAGCCACUUCAAGUCACCAUCAGAGCUUAAAAUUCUAUAAUAAUUAGACUAUACAACCUCUUUAUUAACCAUCACAACACAACAAAUAUCAAGGUCAGCGCCCUGCUAUGGCUUUGCUACAUGUUUCGGCUAUCAAUAGCCGUCAUCAGGCAAAUAAGUGG
Molecule: long non-coding RNA, 1473 nt
Organism: Cryptotermes secundus
Lineage: Eukaryota; Metazoa; Arthropoda; Insecta; Blattodea; Kalotermitidae
Exons: 3
Source: RefSeq, a predicted model, not a curated record